This 270-nucleotide ribosomal RNA is filed under the name uncultured archaeon. Its description in RNAcentral is "partial 16S ribosomal RNA". It matches the Rfam family "Archaeal small subunit ribosomal RNA", at positions 477 to 747 of the family's 1478-position model. The record is from RNAcentral.
CAGCACCUCAAGUGGUCAGGAUGAUUAUUGGGCCUAAAGCAUCCGUAGCCGGCGCUGUAAGUUUUCGGUUAACUCUGUACGCUCAACGUACAGGCUGCCGGGAAUACUGCAGCGCUAGGGAGUGGGAGAGGUAGACGGUACUCGGUAGGAAGGGGUAAAAUCCUUUGAUCUAUUGAUGACCACCUGUGGCGAAGGCGGUCUACCAGAACACGUCCGACGGUGAGGGAUGAAAGCUGGGGGAGCAAACCGGAUUAGAUACCCGAGUAGUCC